GUGCUUUGCUCUUCUCAUUACAACCUGAAUCACCGGGCACUUGGUAGAGAAAGCUCACCCCUCAGACAUACGCAUCCACUGCAGAUGAGAAACUAGCAUUUUCUUUACCCUUGUGUUUGUUUUUCUGUCAGCCAACAAUAGGGGGAGAAAAGAAGAUUAUUGAGAUUAGAUGAUUUUUUUCUUACAUAUUUAUUAUCCUGUUCUGUCCCAAUCAUCUCAAUAUUCAAAAAGUAGACUUGGAGGCUAGCAUAAAGAAAAGAACAGCCAAGCUUCUGAGGGCUGUUGAAUUUUUAAUCCUCUAACAUUUUUCUCCCCCUUCUCUAUUUGUUGUCUAUUUUCAAAGCCCUAAAGUAAAGAGAUUGUCUAAACCCCAUUCUUUGGCAGCCAUUCAAAAAGCUACGUCUUGUAACAUGACUGGGGAAAACCAGGAGUUAAUUUUUAGACAAAAAUUUAGGAGUCAGUAAUGAUGUUUUUAAAAACCUCAAUGUUUAGCAUUGAGGUGAGAUAUUUAAGUAAUAAAACUGAUGGCUCAGUGAUCAGAGCAUCAACAGCUCUCUGCCGGCAAAUCCUGGUGCUCUUUAUUGCUGUGGUCCUGUUCCAGCCCCAUAGCAGGAGAUUGCUAAUGAUCUGGGCUUGGGAUAUACACCUGUGUCCCUCCAGGGUCGUGGUUCUCUUCUUUUAAUCUGUUUCCUUCCCCAGCCUCAGAGUCUUCACCUGUGCUUUAGUGUGACAGGAUUUGCUGCUUUCCCUCAACUUGCUUAAGGCUCUUGCCCUCUGUAGGGGAGAAGGCUUUAGGAGGGGGUCUGUGUCGUGCCAGCAAAGACUGCCCCUGUGCCAUGACAGCUCCAUCAGGAAGCCUCCUCUCUUCUCAUCUGCUGCUCCCAAUCUUUCUCCUGAGCACCAGAAAUUACCUUGAGAAGAAGCCUGAAAAGGUGCAUGGUGUCCAGAAGCAUCUCCUCCAG
RNAcentral lists this long non-coding RNA (962 nucleotides) under Homo sapiens (human). RNAcentral's name for it is "HSALNT0251342". The record is from RNAcentral. Lineage: Eukaryota; Metazoa; Chordata; Mammalia; Primates; Hominidae.